RNAcentral lists this ribosomal RNA (977 nucleotides) under uncultured fungus. RNAcentral's name for it is "eukaryotic LSU rRNA". The stretch from base 394 to 977 matches the Rfam family "Eukaryotic large subunit ribosomal RNA", at positions 1 to 588 of the family's 3401-position model. Lineage: Eukaryota; Fungi. The record is from RNAcentral.
UCGGCUACCGGCUUCGGCUGGUUCGUGUUCGCCAGAGGACCUAAAACUCUGAAUUAUAAUGCCGUCUGAGUACUAUAUAAUAGUUAAAACUUUCAACAACGGAUCUCUUGGUUCUGGCAUCGAUGAAGAACGCAGCGAAAUGCGAUAAGUAAUGUGAAUUGCAGAAUUCAGUGAAUCAUCGAAUCUUUGAACGCACAUUGCGCCCUCUGGUAUUCCGGGGGGCAUGCCUGUUCGAGCGUCAUUACAACCCUCAAGCUCUGCUUGGUAUUGGGCCUCCGCCUCCCCGGCGGGCCUUAAAAUCAGUGGCGGUGUCAUCUGACUCUAAGCGUAGUAAUUUUUCUCGCUCUGGAAAUCAGUUGGUUACUUGCCAUCGAACCCCAAAUUUUUAAAGGUUGACCUCGGAUCAGGUAGGGAUACCCGCUGAACUUAAGCAUAUCAAUAAGCGGAGGAAAAGAAACCAACAGGGAUUACCUCAGUAACGGCGAGUGAAGCGGUAACAGCUCAAAUUUGAAAUCUGGCCCUUUCAGGGUCCGAGUUGUAAUUUGUAGAGGAUGUUUCGGGUGUGGCUCCGGUCUAAGUUCCUUGGAACAGGACGUCAUAGAGGGUGAGAAUCCCGUAUGUGACUGGUUGCCUACACCCAUGUGAAACUCCUUCGACGAGUCGAGUUGUUUGGGAAUGCAGCUCAAAAUGGGUGGUAAAUUUCAUCUAAAGCUAAAUAUUGGCCAGAGACCGAUAGCGCACAAGUAGAGUGAUCGAAAGAUGAAAAGCACUUUGGAAAGAGAGUUAAACAGUACGUGAAAUUGUUGAAAGGGAAGCGCUUGCAACCAGACUUGCACUUGGUUAAUCAUCCUCUGUUCUCAGGGGUGCACUUGAUCUCGUUCAGGCCAGCAUCGGUUUUGGUGGUUGGAUAAAGGCCUUAGGAAUGUAGCUUCCCUCGGGGAGUGUUAUAGCCUAGGGUGCAAUGCAGCCUACCGGGA